This 548-nucleotide ribosomal RNA is filed under the name uncultured Glomus. Its description in RNAcentral is "SSU rRNA". It matches the Rfam family "Eukaryotic small subunit ribosomal RNA", at positions 548 to 1098 of the family's 1831-position model. The record is from RNAcentral. Lineage: Eukaryota; Fungi; Glomeromycota; Glomeromycetes; Glomerales; Glomeraceae.
UUGGAGGGCAAGUCUGGUGCCAGCAGCCGCGGUAAUUCCAGCUCCAAUAGCGUAUAUUAAAGUUGUUGCAGUUAAAAAGCUCGUAGUUGAAUUUCGGGACCAUCAUGUCGGUCGUGCCUCGGUACGUACUGGCAUUGUUGGUUUCUCCCUUCUGACGAACCAUGAUGUCAUUUAUUUGGUGUUGUGGGAAAUCAGGACUGUUACUUUGAAAAAAUUAGAGUGUUUAAAGCAGGCUCACGCUUGAAUACAUUAGCAUGGAAUAAUGAAAUAGGACGUUUGAUUCUAUUUUGUUGGUUUCUAGGAUCGACGUAAUGAUUAAUAGGGAUAGUUGGGGGCAUUAGUAUUCAAUUGUCAGAGGUGAAAUUCUUGGAUUUAUUGAAGACUAACUACUGCGAAAGCAUUUGCCAAGGAUGUUUUCAUUAAUCAAGAGCGAAAGUUAGGGGAUCGAAGACGAUCAGAUACCGUCGUAGUCUUAACCAUAAACUAUGCCGACCAGGGAUCGGAUGAUGUUAAUUUUUUAAUGACUCAUUCGGCGCCUUACGGGAAAC